AUUGGUCCUACUUAUUUAGUUUCUAUUGCAUAGUGGAAGACAUAUUUUUCUAUCCAUGCAUUUUUCGUUACUCUUAAACUAAAUUAUUAUUGAUUCUUAAAAAUGUUUAAAAUAACUUUUAAUGAGACAAUGAGUAAUAGACAAUAAAUUUAAAUCUAUCUAAGAUAGAUAAAAAAUCUAAAAAAAAUAUCAUGACAAAUCGGAAAUUACGUCAUCUACUGAUUCUAGUAUUAUGUAUCUCUUUUUUGUGUAGUAUGUUAACAGUAUAUUGGUUAAUUAAGAGAUCAUAUAAUCUGGAGAAGUUAGAGCGACCAGACGCGUACAAUGGACCGAUUGUGAAUAAUAUUUUGGAUAAUUACAAUCAACAGGAUCGUCCAUAUUAUUUGGAGCCAAUUAUAACCGUAACGCCUUAUUACAAAGAAAUGGAAUGGAAUGAAAUUGCGAACCCGCCUCUACCGUGGUAUUUCAAAGAUGGUUCAAUAAAACCUACCAAAGCUCUAUCGAGCUCUGGAUUAAAACUUACACAAGUGUGGCCUGAAGAACAAAUAAAUGGCGAUCGCGUGGAAGAACAACUAAUGUUUGUGCCACCAAAUUAUGAUUAUAACAAUGCACCAAUCAAGUCAAUUUUAUUAUUUAACAAUGUUAACGAAUGGAUGGUUGAUAGUGGACAAAACGAAUUUAUUUCAAAAAAUUGCCCGGUAAAUAGAUGCACAAUUACUACAGACAAAUCAAAAUCCUCAAACAUCGAUUCAAUUGUAUUCCGAAAUGAGUUCUCACGUCCAGUCACAUAAAGUCUGGUAAACAAGUAUGGAUUUUAUCUAUUGUCGAGUCUGCAUUCUAUACAGAACUUAAUGUUGACCAUGAUUUAAUCAAUUGGACUGCUACAUAUCGACAUGAUAGUGAUAUCGUUAUGCCUCAUCAACGAUGGGCUUAUUACGAUCCGUCAGUAACUCAGAUUGAACAAUUUAAUCGAAAUUACGCACAACAUAAAACGAAACAAUUGGCUAUAAUUAUCACAGAUUGUAACAUUAAUAAUGACAGAGAACUAUUUUAUGCUAGAGAGUUGAGCAAGUAUAAUAUAUCUGUAGAUAUGUAUGGUGGAUGUGGUGAAUUUAAAAAUAUCGAAUCUAAUACAUUUCUACAAAUGCUGGAUCAGAGUUAUAAAUUUUAUUUGGCUUUCGAGAAUUCAAAUUGUAUUGAUUACGUGACUGAAAAGUUUUUCGUCAACGGACUUCAGCAUAACGUACUGCCGAUCGUGAUGGGUGCUCGCCGCGAGGACUACAAACGUUUAGCGCCAGACCGAUCGUACUUGCACGUGGACGACUACGAGUCGCCGGAACAGUUGGCCGAGCACCUGCGACAAUUGGACGCCGACGACGACUUGUACAACGAGUACUUCCAGUGGAAAGGCACCGGCGAGUUUAUCGACACAAGGUUCUUCUGUCGACUGUGCGCAAUGUUGCACGACGACGGAGCGCCGGCCAAAAGUUACAAAAAUUUGGACCGCUGGUGGCGUGGUCCGGAAGUUUGCGAUAACCUUGUCCCCGAGAUCCCGACCCAAUUGCCACCACCGCCGUUAGCGAUUAAUGACAGAGAAGAAAUAUGGACGUAAAAUAUAUGAGUGCUGGCGACGUUAUAUAAAACUCGUCUCAUAUCUAUUGUACACUCUUGUAGACUCUCUAAUGAUUUAAUGUUUUAAGUAGGUAUCGUACUAUCGUAUGAACUCUUGCACGUACGCUUCUCUGAUCCUUCCCUACCUUCACCUAUACACAUUAUACAUAUUUGAAUUAUUACAAAUUUUAGUUAAAUUUAGUCAAAUUAAUAUUAUGCGAUUGGCUCAUAUAUUUACAAGAUGUAUUAUGUAAUUUUCACGCUAUUUAUAGUUGUUCGUAAAUUCAAAUAUUUCCCUGAAGGAUUGGAAUAUCAUAAUUUCUUCAACUCUUCUCCACAAGUAUAAUUAUAUUUAUAUUAUAAGUUUUUUCUUGUUUUGUUACUAAUUAAUACACAUGAUUUGCACGACCAAAUUCAAAAUUCUCAUAUUAUUUCACCUUUCUAUACAAAAUCUACUGUACGUCGUAUAUUAUUUGAUUUAAGUAUAUGGAGAUAGAGAAAUUUCGGAUUUGGUCAUACAAAUUCUUCAAACACACAUUUCAUCCAUUUACAAAAAAUUUUUAUUUUAUGCAUAAUUUAAAGAUUUAAAGCCUGUAAAUUACGAAAAUAGCAAAUACAAAUUAUAUUGUAAUA
Aphis gossypii (cotton aphid) is the source of this 2244-nucleotide RNA transcript. It is a transcript of the gene named glycoprotein 3-alpha-L-fucosyltransferase A-like, with no coding region annotated. The transcript is spliced from 5 exons. NCBI's taxonomy places the organism in Eukaryota, Metazoa, Arthropoda, Insecta, Hemiptera, Aphididae. The record is from RefSeq and is a predicted model, not a curated record.